RNAcentral lists this small nuclear RNA (23 nucleotides) under Arabidopsis thaliana (thale cress). RNAcentral describes it as "snRNA_04982". The record is from RNAcentral. Lineage: Eukaryota; Viridiplantae; Streptophyta; Magnoliopsida; Brassicales; Brassicaceae.
UAACCUUUUGCAACAAUACCCUU